This is a long non-coding RNA of Cherax quadricarinatus, 2674 nucleotides long. RefSeq lists it as uncharacterized. Lineage: Eukaryota; Metazoa; Arthropoda; Malacostraca; Decapoda; Parastacidae. The record is from RefSeq and is a predicted model, not a curated record.
UCUAGUUGAUGUUAACUCGAAUUAUUAUAUUAGAAUUAUUAACUGCCUAACUUGAAAGUUAACUAAAAUAUCUGAUUGCUUUUGGUUGAUCCAUUACUGAAGUAUAAUUAUUUAUUACCAUUAUUUUCUGUAAACGUGGCAUUACACACACACACACACACACACACACACACACACACACACACACACACACAAACACUUAAUCCUUUUAUCAGUCAAUGAAUUUAUAUGUGUGUUGUGCAAUUCACUUUCUCAGUAUGUUUCUGCACUACACAUAGAUGACAACCUUCCUUCACUUAACUACGUUCAUUUUCUUGAGUUUCUCUUAAUCAAUUUCCUAACUUUUCCAGCAACUGAUCAGAGUUAGGCUAGGUUACCUAAAUCAAUAAAAAUAAAUAUGUAAAUUAUAAAGAAAGCGGCUGAGAAGCAUCAGGAAUAAUGUUCAGACCUGCAUAUCACUCCUGAUAAGAAGAGCUGCCUCCGUGGACUGAGUACAACGCCAGUGAAAGCAGACGAGAAGCUUGGGGCGAAGGAAAAAACCAGGACCCAACAAAUUGGUACCUUUCAGCCUCCCCAAGGAAUUUCCCAUCUCAUGCGGUAAAUUUAUGUUAUACCAAGUACUGCACACAAACAUCCCAAGUUAUUAUACAUCUCUAUACCUACCUAAACAGUAUUUCAUCAGUCAACUGAUAAAUAUGCAUAAAACAAAUUAGUACUCUUAAUUCCAGUGAAACGAUUGUACUGAUUACCUGGUAACUGCACGAGGCACCAGUGGCAAGACGGAGGGAGGGUCAGGGAAGCUAUUUUGAUGUAAAUAGCAAGAAGCAUCUCUGACCAGCAUCAGUGCUUACUAUAAAGCGAAGAACGAAAGUCAACUGCAGUCACCAUGAACUAUCUCCGAGCCUUGAUGAUGGUGGUGGUAGUAAUGGCCGCCGUGGGCGUAGCCAUGGCCUACGUAGACCCUGAUGCCAACCACCAUAGACACGGUGGAUUCGGUGGUGGCAGAUUCGGUGGAGGUGGAUUCGGUGGCGGCAGAUUCGGUGGCGGCAGAUUCGGCGGCUUAGGAGGAGGUUUUGGUGGUCGCGGGCAUGGUGGUUAUGGCAAGUAGAGAGACGCUGCAGACCAGCUAGAUGGACACCUCGACCACACUUAGCCAUGAGAAUGAUCAGAGAUGAACGUCGGUUAUUGACGCAGCUAAUACGACCCAGCGACGAGCGAGUCUUUUGACGCUACUAAUAGUACUACCAAAGGGACGAGCUACGUCUCCUGAUGCCGCUAAUACGACCAAAGCAACAAGGACGUCCCUUGACGACACUUUAAAAAAUAUCAAGUCUUUCCUCACCAACAUUGAUGGGCUACAAACAAAUCGGUCAACGUAUUAGUGUGUUUUCUUUAGCACUUUGAAAUUACUUAAUAUCAAAUGUCUUACAAAACAGUAAGCAAGCAAAAAAUGAUUUAAUAGUGGACCAAUUUCCUCUUGAAAACUUCUACCUCUCUUCCGGCAAUAUUUGUGAUUUCUGCUGGUUACAAGUUGAAGUCUUGAAUUACAGAUGUUGGCAGAGUGUUCUCUGUUUCCAUAGUCUCCCUGAUAUUCUAAACUUUUUUCAAUAUGUUUCACUCCGGUAAGUUGUUAUGGCCAUGUGUAGACCAGGGCCCAGGCCUUCAAGUACCCUCCAGGUAUAUAUUAUCAGGUAUCUCUCUCCGUUCCUGAGAGUACAAUCUAAGUGCUUUGAGGUAUUUCCAGUAAUUUAGAUCUUUUAUUGAUUCUAUACAAGCACUGUACGACCUCCGUACAUUUUCUAGGUUUGCUAUCUCUCUUGCUUGAAAAGGCUAUGUGAAUAUAUUAUUUUUUCAUGGAAGGGAGGACAGGUCGUUUCUUGGAUGAACAGACUCCUCGCCGGCUGUGACCUCAAGUCGUGAGAGCAAAAUUUUAUUUGAAAGGUAUUAUUAUUCGUGUUGUUUCUCUUUGUUUGUGAAAGUUCUUAUCCGAUGGAAAUACAAAAUGCCUAAGAAAUCAUUAUUGUAAAUGCAGACAACUCACAAUUAAACAACACAUGGGAAAACGAAAAAUUUGACAAGAUAAACGACGGAUUAAGUAAUAUAUUAAAAAUUACUGUACUGAUUGCUGAUCAUAAGAUUUUUAAGAGUUUUUUCGCCUUAUAGGGCGGGUUACCGGACAACACCGUCAAGAAACACGUCCAGUUUCCUGACGAAUGUUACCUAACGUAACACCGCUCAUCCUAUGAGUAAUCUUACCACCAUCAAGACAGUACAUGAAUCUGACCAAAAUGUUGUCAAGGCCACUUUCAACUCCAUCCCUGGUUCUUACAUUAUGCAGUUAUCACUACCCCUCACAAUUACAAUACAUCAGUGUAGUAGGGAGUUGAUAAAUUAGACACAUGUGCAACUCUUGGGUAUCUUUAUUAAGAAAACGUUUCGCCACACAGUGGCUUCAUCAGUCCAUACAAAGGAGAAUCUUGAAGAACAGGAGUAGAAUGAGGUAAUCAGUCCCUCAACCUUGAGUCGAUGUGGUCAGUCCAUCAGUCUUGAAUAGAAUACGCCAUACGUGCGGAGGAGCUUAUAAACCGUAGGCAGGAGAGGUGCAGCAGUCAUAGGUGGUGUCACAUUUGUUCAAUGUGGAAGUAGGUCGUGCCCAAGAAUUAGGCAAGCGUAG